CCUGGCUCAUAGAAAGUAUCAAAUAAGUGGUAGACAAGUUGUCAUUUUCACUUGUGGUUGAUAAUUUCCACUUUUGCCUUUCUGCAGCCCAGAGACAGAAGCAGAUAAUGCAAGUGUCAUCUACAUCUGGCAAAAGCCAAAGGUUUGGAAGAUGGAAAAAGGAAUCCAGGCAAAAAGGAGCCCAAGAUUGAAGUGAAUGACCAGGUCCAAGGUGAAUGUCCAGUGCUGUUGUCCUUGGCCUGCAGCAGGAGGAGCAGGGAUCUAAGACUUGGAGAGCAAAUGUCAAGCUCAGAAGAAAGACUGGAAGUUUGGGGACAAAACCCAAAUAUGGCUAAAGAAAGCCUGUAGGAUGAAGUUGGAAGUUCCAGAGCCUUCUCUUCACAUAAUGGGACAUGCAAGGGGGAAACCAAAUCAAAAGUGUAGAAUGCGUCGCUGGAUGUCUUUGAC
RNAcentral lists this long non-coding RNA (447 nucleotides) under Homo sapiens (human). Its description in RNAcentral is "HSALNT0312441". Lineage: Eukaryota; Metazoa; Chordata; Mammalia; Primates; Hominidae. The record is from RNAcentral.